This 23-nucleotide small nuclear RNA is filed under the name Arabidopsis thaliana (thale cress). Its description in RNAcentral is "snRNA_02646". The record is from RNAcentral. Lineage: Eukaryota; Viridiplantae; Streptophyta; Magnoliopsida; Brassicales; Brassicaceae.
UGACUGGAAAAUUACAAUUAUAC